Molecule: long non-coding RNA, 1062 nt
Filed under: Triticum aestivum (bread wheat)
Lineage: Eukaryota; Viridiplantae; Streptophyta; Magnoliopsida; Poales; Poaceae
Description: long non-coding RNA (TAES_LNC017310)
Source: RNAcentral
UACUGUAUUUUGGACAGAACUUCAUUUGAACUUUACACAACAAAACAUCAAAUAUUGACAGCCAAACAAAGAAAUUUUGUAUAGCAUAACACUCAACACUUUGACAUAAAAGAUGAGAAAAUGUUGACAGCCAAACAUUGACUAGUGAAAACCACAUAAUACAAAUUCCAUAGUUCAUCACAAAUUCACAACAACGUCAUUGAAAGUGCAUGGUUCAUCACAACAUCAUUGAAGGUCCAUAGUUCAUCACAACAAACACAUAACUCGAAGCUCAUCACAACAAAAGAAAUGGCACGAGACGAUCACAUUGACCUGAACAAUCCACGUGACAAGAUCAUGUAGACAUCCAUCUUCAAAACAGCAAGAGCAACACCCACAUGACGAAUGUCUACAUGUAACACAGAUUUGUAAACAUAUUGGGAUCAUGUAAAGAUAUGAAAACUGAAACGUGUCGAAAGAACAGUUACCAAUUGUUGUUAUCCCCCACAUCAACAAUCUUGGGCAACUUGAUAUUCUCAACAUCGUCCUCCUCAUCUUCAUCCCUCUCCUAAUUAUUUGGAAGUCAGCCACAUACAAGAAAUAGACAGAAACCAUAGAAGAAAAAGAUAGGAAUCAUACCACCACAUUGAAGUCCUCGUGAGAACCUUUGGUAUAACUAGCACUGCACACCAAUAAUUACGUUGUGCCUUCAACGCCAUCAAACCUUCUUUCGAUGGCACCUUUACCUUAUGAAAGAAGGUCCAAACCAUCGACCUCGACCUCGAAGAAGCUUGACCUUUUCGCUUCUUGGCACUCUUCCGUUGCACUUUUCUUGCUUCAUCCUCACUUGGAUAGCAAAAACAGCACACACAUGAGCUUGCACAAACAUAUAUUUUUUGGAUACCAAAAAGAGCACACACAUGAGCUUACACAAACAUAUAUUUGACAUUUGGAUACCAAAAACAGCACAUAUGACUUUCAAACUAAUUAGACAUGGAGUCCAUGUAAUUUUCCAGCAAGUAGAUUAUUUUUCAAGCUGCUAUGCUACAGCAACUAGAUCAUCAACUAGGUCAUCAACAGCAG